RNAcentral lists this ribosomal RNA (655 nucleotides) under Stenotrophomonas maltophilia. Its description in RNAcentral is "bacterial SSU rRNA". It matches the Rfam family "Bacterial small subunit ribosomal RNA", at positions 66 to 711 of the family's 1533-position model. The record is from RNAcentral. Lineage: Bacteria; Pseudomonadati; Pseudomonadota; Gammaproteobacteria; Lysobacterales; Lysobacteraceae.
GCAGCACAGUAAGAGCUUGCUCUUAUGGGUGGCGAGUGGUGGACGGGUGAGGAAUACAUCGGAAUCUACUCUGUCGUGGGGGAUAACGUAGGGAAACUUACGCUAAUACCGCAUACGACCUACGGGUGAAAGCAGGGGAUCUUCGGACCUUGCGCGAUUGAAUGAGCCGAUGUCGGAUUAGCUAGUUGGCGGGGUAAAGGCCCACCAAGGCGACGAUCCGUAGCUGGUCUGAGAGGAUGAUCAGCCACACUGGAACUGAGACACGGUCCAGACUCCUACGGGAGGCAGCAGUGGGGAAUAUUGGACAAUGGGCGCAAGCCUGAUCCAGCCAUACCGCGUGGGUGAAGAAGGCCUUCGGGUUGUAAAGCCCUUUUGUUGGGAAAGAAAUCCAGCCGGCUAAUACCUGGUUGGGAUGACGGUACCCAAAGAAUAAGCACCGGCUAACUUCGUGCCAGCAGCCGCGGUAAUACGAAGGGUGCAAGCGUUACUCGGAAUUACUGGGCGUAAAGCGUGCGUAGGUGGUCGUUUAAGUCCGUUGUGAAAGCCCUGGGCUCAACCUGGGAACUGCAGUGGAUACUGGGCGACUAGAGUGUGGUAGAGGGUAGCGGAAUUCCUGGUGUAGCAGUGAAAUGCGUAGAGAUCAGGAGGAACAUCC